This 482-nucleotide ribosomal RNA is filed under the name uncultured bacterium. RNAcentral's name for it is "partial 16S ribosomal RNA". It matches the Rfam family "Bacterial small subunit ribosomal RNA", at positions 30 to 507 of the family's 1533-position model. The record is from RNAcentral.
AUUGAACGCUGGCGGCAUGCCUUACACAUGCAAGUCGAACGGUAACAGGUCUUCGGAUGCUGCCGAGUGGCGAACGGGUGAGUAAUACAUCGGAACGUGCCCGAUCGUGGGGGAUAACGGAGCGAAAGCUUUGCUAAUACCGCAUACGAUCUAUGGAUGAAAGCAGGGGACCGCAAGGCCUUGCGCGGACGGAGCGGCCGAUGGCAGAUUAGGUAGUUGGUGGGAUAAAAGCUUACCAAGCCGACGAUCUGUAGCUGGUCUGAGAGGACGACCAGCCACACUGGGACUGAGACACGGCCCAGACUCCUACGGGAGGCAGCAGUGGGGAAUUUUGGACAAUGGGCGAAAGCCUGAUCCAGCCAUGCCGCGUGCAGGAUGAAGGCCUUCGGGUUGUAAACUGCUUUUGUACGGAACGAAAAGACUCUUUCUAAUAAAGAGGGUCCAUGACGGUACCGUAAGAAUAAGCACCGGCUAACUACGUG